AAAAAAUAAAGAACAAGUUGCAACUAUAUUUUCAAAAUUUAAAAAAAUAAUUAAAAAAGAAAUUAUAGUUGCAAUUUGUUCUUCAUUUUUGUUUAUUUAAAGAAGAGUGUAUAUUUGUCAUUUUAUAGCUUUUAAUUAAGAAAAUGGAUGAACAUAACGAUUUUUGCAAUAAAAUAUAAAAAUAAGUGUGAAAAUUUCAAAAAAUGAAAGAAGGAACGAUUUGCACAAUAAUAAUGAAAGGUAUGGACAAUUUUGCUAAUUACUCUUUUAAUAAUUUACUUGGACUCAUUUGCUUUUUUAAAAAAGUUUGGGAGCAUGAUUUCAAUUUAUUCUUUAACUUUUCUUUUCUUUUUUAUUGUUUUAUUUAAAUAUGGGAUACAUUUGUCAUUUUACAUGAGAAUUUUGAUGAAAAUGAUGAUUUCCACAAUAAAAAAUGGAGGUAUGGAUAAAAGUGUCAAAAAAAUGAAAGUUAGGGACGUUUUGCACAAUAACAUUGAAAUGUAAAGACUUUCUACUAAUUACCCUUUAUGUUUUACAAAUAGAUUUAAUAAUCUGUUUUCAGCAACAAAAACAAAAAUACAUCAUAUAACCUGUACUAAUAGGUGGCUUGCCGAAUCUCGUCAGCUAGCUCUUUCGGGCUUGAGAUUGGCUCGCGUGAACAAAUUCAAUAUCGGCUUGGGCUCGAGCUCGGUUCAAUUCGAGCCCAAGACACUCAUGUACCCAAGUUUAUUGAGCUGCCUGGGUCGAUUGCCAUCACUAGGUCCAAAGUUCAAUUCAUUCAAUCUCAUGCUUCCAGUAUUGCUAAUAUAAGGACUUAUUUGCAGCUUCUGAAUUUGUGGAAGCCAUAGCCAUAAUGAUUGUUUCCUAUCAAGCCCGUCACAUGUACAAGGGGCUUGCCGAUCUCAUUCCAGAUAUCGAUGCUUUAUACUCCGAGGAAGCCCAGUAUCAAGUUAGAACAUAAUCGCAAACUUUGUAUUGUUGUCGGAUUUUACCCGCACUCAUGCCUCCUGUUUAAAUAGAGAUGAAUAUAUACUCAUUUUCUUGCAUCUUUGACAUUUUCCCACUACUUUGCCUUUAUCUUUGACCUUGUCCCUUUGUAGAUUUUGUUCGUGUUCAUCAUAUUUAUCGAAAGUAGAGGAAAAGAUUGUGAAUUUGCGAGAUGAUCUAUGUAUGAUUUUCACUUUCAGAUUGCAGAAGAUCUGUUGGUACUCCUUUUGUGUAACGUGCUUUUUUAUAAUUCAACAGAUUUGUUAAUUUAUAAUCUUUUACAUGAUGAAUUCUCAUCCAACAAGUAUGGCUAUAAUAAUAGAUCAUUCUUCAAAUUUGUGACGAAAAGGCAGAAUUAAAACAUGUUAUUGGGAUUACAAUACACAUCCGAAAGCUUAUUUCAAGUGAUUGGAAACGUUAACUGAUGAUGCUUGGAUUAAACAUAUAUAAUCCCUCCCAAAGUUUUGGUGGAAUGCACAACAUCUCAACUAAUGAACGUAGCAAAGUUUCGUUUAUUCUAAAUCCAAACCCAUCAAGCAAAACAAACAAAACAUAAUUGUCAAGCAGGCUCCUUUCCUUUUGUGUUCUUUAGUGGUGGCCUGGGCACGCUGGAGGAGGAGCAGACUGUGGUGGUGGUAGUUUUGGAGUGGGGGAAGUAAAUAGCUAAGGUUUGCUGAUGUUCAACGUCGGCAUAAAUGUUUUGGAGGCACCGGCCGAAGGUGAAUAUCUUUUCAUUUUUAAGGGAGGAAACUGGAGAGUUUUUGGAUAGGGUUUGUAGGAUUGGUUUCAAUUUUGGGGAACACAAAGAUGCGGUGGUGGGUUUGCAUGAUUUCAUUUUGUUUUUCCUUUU
RNAcentral lists this long non-coding RNA (1837 nucleotides) under Olea europaea subsp. europaea. Lineage: Eukaryota; Viridiplantae; Streptophyta; Magnoliopsida; Lamiales; Oleaceae. The record is from RNAcentral.